Molecule: ribosomal RNA, 490 nt
Filed under: uncultured bacterium
Lineage: Bacteria
Description: partial 16S ribosomal RNA
Rfam family: Bacterial small subunit ribosomal RNA
Source: RNAcentral
AUUGAACGCUGGCGGCAGGCCUAACACAUGCAAGUCGAACGGUAACAGGAAGCAGCUUGCUGCUUUGCUGACGAGUGGCGGACGGGUGAGUAAUGUCUGUGAAACUGCCCGAUGGAGGGGGAUAACUACUGGAAACGGUAGCUAAUACCGCAUAACGUCGCAAGACCGAAGAGGGGGACCUUAGGGCCUCUUGCCAUCGGAUGUGCCCAGAUGGGAUUAGCUAGUAGGUGGGGUAACGGCUCACCUAGGCGACGAUCCCUAGCUGGUCUGAGAGGAUGACCAGCCACACUGGAACUGAGACACGGUCCAGACUCCUACGGGAGGCAGCAGUGGGGAAUAUUGCACAAUGGGCGCAAGCCUGAUGCAGCAAUGCCGCGUGUAUGAAGAAGGCCUUCGGGUUGUAAAGUACUUUCAGCGGGGAGGAAGGGAGUAAAGUUAAUACCUUUGCUCAUUGACGUUACCCGCAGAAGAAGCACCGGCUAACUCCGUG